GUGGAAGAGGUUGUGUUAGGACUGAUUCUAAUAAAUUGGGUUCCUCAAGUUCUUUAGCUCGUUGCUCUUGGGAGACAUUCUCCUUGAGCUUAAUUAUUCUUCCUAUGCCACCAUCUUGAAUAAACUAUUUUUCAAGAAAAAUAGCAUAUCGAUUCACAAUCACAUUGUGAUCUUCUAGAAUAUAGAAAUAGUAUCCUAAUGACUCU
This 206-nucleotide long non-coding RNA is filed under the name Elaeis guineensis (African oil palm). Its description in RNAcentral is "long non-coding RNA (EGUI_LNC057795)". The record is from RNAcentral. Lineage: Eukaryota; Viridiplantae; Streptophyta; Magnoliopsida; Arecales; Arecaceae.